RNAcentral lists this ribosomal RNA (2587 nucleotides) under Pseudomonas putida W15Oct28. Its description in RNAcentral is "bacterial LSU rRNA". It matches the Rfam family "Bacterial large subunit ribosomal RNA". Lineage: Bacteria; Pseudomonadati; Pseudomonadota; Gammaproteobacteria; Pseudomonadales; Pseudomonadaceae. The record is from RNAcentral.
UCAAGUGAAGAAGCGCAUACGGUGGAUGCCUUGGCAGUCAGAGGCGAUGAAAGACGUGGUAGCCUGCGAUAAGCUUUGGGGAGUCGGCAAACAGACUGUGAUCCAGAGAUCUCUGAAUGGGGGAACCCAGCCAGCAUAAGCUGGUUAUCUUGUACUGAAUACAUAGGUGCAAGAGGCGAACCAGGGGAACUGAAACAUCUAAGUACCCUGAGGAAAAGAAAUCAACCGAGAUUCCCUUAGUAGUGGCGAGCGAACGGGGACCAGCCCUUAAGUUGGUUUGAGAUUAGUGGAACGCUCUGGAAAGUGCGGCCAUAGUGGGUGAUAGCCCCGUACACGAAAAUCUCUUAUCAAUGAAAUCGAGUAGGACGGAGCACGAGAAACUUUGUCUGAAUAUGGGGGGACCAUCCUCCAAGGCUAAAUACUACUGACUGACCGAUAGUGAACUAGUACCGUGAGGGAAAGGCGAAAAGAACCCCGGAGAGGGGAGUGAAAUAGAUCCUGAAACCGUAUGCGUACAAGCAGUGGGAGCCUACUUUGUUAGGUGACUGCGUACCUUUUGUAUAAUGGGUCAGCGACUUAUAUUCAGUGGCGAGCUUAACCGAAUAGGGGAGGCGUAGCGAAAGCGAGUCUUAAUAGGGCGUUUAGUCGCUGGGUAUAGACCCGAAACCGGGCGAUCUAUCCAUGGGCAGGUUGAAGGUUAGGUAACACUGACUGGAGGACCGAACCGACUACCGUUGAAAAGUUAGCGGAUGACCUGUGGAUCGGAGUGAAAGGCUAAUCAAGCUCGGAGAUAGCUGGUUCUCCUCGAAAGCUAUUUAGGUAGCGCCUCAUGUAUCACUGUAGGGGGUAGAGCACUGUUUCGGCUAGGGGGUCAUCCCGACUUACCAAACCGAUGCAAACUCCGAAUACCUACAAGUGCCGAGCAUGGGAGACACACGGCGGGUGCUAACGUCCGUCGUGAAAAGGGAAACAACCCAGACCGUCAGCUAAGGUCCCAAAGUCAUGGUUAAGUGGGAAACGAUGUGGGAAGGCUUAGACAGCUAGGAGGUUGGCUUAGAAGCAGCCACCCUUUAAAGAAAGCGUAAUAGCUCACUAGUCGAGUCGGCCUGCGCGGAAGAUGUAACGGGGCUCAAACCAUGCACCGAAGCUACGGGUAUCACGAGUGAAAAACUCGCACGCCGAAAGACCAAGGUUUCCUGCGCAACGUUAAUCGACGCAGGGUUAGUCGGUCCCUAAGGCGAGGCUGAAAAGCGUAGUCGAUGGAAAACAGGUUAAUAUUCCUGUACUUCCAGUUAUUGCGAUGGAGGGACGGAGAAGGUUAGGCCAGCCUGGCGUUGGUUGUCCAGGUUUAAGGUGGUAGGCUGGAAUCUUAGGCAAAUCCGGGAUUCUAAGGCCGAGAGCUGAUGACGAGUUGCCAGAAUACCAAGGCGCUUGAGAGAACUCGGGUGAAGGAACUAGGCAAAAUGGCACCGUAACUUCGGGAGAAGGUGCGCCGGCGAGGGUAGGGUGUGACGCCUGCCCGGUGCCGGAAGGUUAAUUGAUGGGGUUAGCGCAAGCGAAGCUCUUGAUCGAAGCCCCGGUAAACGGCGGCCGUAACUAUAACGGUCCUAAGGUAGCGAAAUUCCUUGUCGGGUAAGUUCCGACCUGCACGAAUGGCGUAACGAUGGCGGCGCUGUCUCCACCCGAGACUCAGUGAAAUUGAAAUCGCUGUGAAGAUGCAGUGUAUCCGCGGCUAGACGGAAAGACCCCGUGAACCUUUACUAUAGCUUUGCACUGGACUUUGAAUUUGCUUGUGUAGGAUAGGUGGGAGGCUUUGAAGUGGGGACGCCAGUUCUCAUGGAGCCAUCCUUGAAAUACCACCCUGGCAACUUUGAGGUUCUAACUCAGGUCCGUUAUCCGGAUCGAGGACAGUGUAUGGUGGGUAGUUUGACUGGGGCGGUCUCCUCCCAAAGAGUAACGGAGGAGUACGAAGGUGCGCUCAGACCGGUCGGAAAUCGGUCGUAGAGUAUAAAGGCAAAAGCGCGCUUGACUGCGAGACACACACGUCGAGCAGGUACGAAAGUAGGUCUUAGUGAUCCGGUGGUUCUGUAUGGAAGGGCCAUCGCUCAACGGAUAAAAGGUACUCCGGGGAUAACAGGCUGAUACCGCCCAAGAGUUCAUAUCGACGGCGGUGUUUGGCACCUCGAUGUCGGCUCAUCACAUCCUGGGGCUGAAGCCGGUCCCAAGGGUAUGGCUGUUCGCCAUUUAAAGUGGUACGCGAGCUGGGUUUAGAACGUCGUGAGACAGUUCGGUCCCUAUCUGCCGUGGACGUUUGAGAUUUGAGAGGGGCUGCUCCUAGUACGAGAGGACCGGAGUGGACGAACCUCUGGUGUUCCGGUUGUCACGCCAGUGGCAUUGCCGGGUAGCUAUGUUCGGAAGAGAUAACCGCUGAAAGCAUCUAAGCGGGAAACUUGCCUCAAGAUGAGAUCUCACUGGGAUCUUGAAUCCCCUAAAGGGCCGUCGAAGACUACGACGUUGAUAGGUUGGGUGUGUAAGCGCUGUGAGGCGUUGAGCUAACCAAUACUAAUUGCCCGUGAGGCUUGACCAU